AAGUCGAGCGAACGGACGAGAAGCUUGCUUCUCUGAUGUUAGCGGCGGACGGGUGAGUAACACGUGGAUAACCUACCUAUAAGACUGGGAUAACUUCGGGAAACCGGAGCUAAUACCGGAUAAUAUUUUGAACCGCAUGGUUCAAAAGUGAAAGACGGUCUUGCUGUCACUUAUAGAUGGAUCCGCGCUGCAUUAGCUAGUUGGUAAGGUAACGGCUUACCAAGGCAACGAUGCAUAGCCGACCUGAGAGGGUGAUCGGCCACACUGGAACUGAGACACGGUCCAGACUCCUACGGGAGGCAGCAGUAGGGAAUCUUCCGCAAUGGGCGAAAGCCUGACGGAGCAACGCCGCGUGAGUGAUGAAGGUCUUCGGAUCGUAAAACUCUGUUAUUAGGGAAGAACAUAUGUGUAAGUAACUGUGCACAUCUUGACGGUACCUAAUCAGAAAGCCACGGCUAACUACGUGCCAGCAGCCGCGGUAAUACGUAGGUGGCAAGCGUUAUCCGGAAUUAUUGGGCGUAAAGCGCGCGUAGGCGGUUUUUUAAGUCUGAUGUGAAAGCCCACGGCUCAACCGUGGAGGGUCAUUGGAAACUGGAAAACUUGAGUGCAGAAGAGGAAAGUGGAAUUCCAUGUGUAGCGGUGAAAUGCGCAGAGAUAUGGAGGAACACCAGUGGCGAAGGCGACUUUCUGGUCUGUAACUGACGCUGAUGUGCGAAAGCGUGGGGAUCAAACAGGAUUAGAUACCCUGGUAGUCCACGCCGUAAACGAUGAGUGCUAAGUGUUAGGGGGUUUCCGCCCCUUAGUGCUGCAGCUAACGCAUUAAGCACUCCGCCUGGGGAGUACGACCGCAAGGUUGAAACUCAAAGGAAUUGACGGGGACCCGCACAAGCGGUGGAGCAUGUGGUUUAAUUCGAAGCAACGCGAAGAACCUUACCAAAUCUUGACAUCCUUUGACAACUCUAGAGAUAGAGCCUUCCCCUUCGGGGGACAAAGUGACAGGUGGUGCAUGGUUGUCGUCAGCUCGUGUCGUGAGAUGUUGGGUUAAGUCCCGCAACGAGCGCAACCCUUAAGCUUAGUUGCCAUCAUUAAGUUGGGCACUCUAAGUUGACUGCCGGUGACAAACCGGAGGAAGGUGGGGAUGACGUCAAAUCAUCAUGCCCCUUAUGAUUUGGGCUACACACGUGCUACAAUGGACAAUACAAAGGGCAGCGAAACCGCGAGGUCAAGCAAAUCCCAUAAAGUUGUUCUCAGUUCGGAUUGUAGUCUGCAACUCGACUACAUGAAGCUGGAAUCGCUAGUAAUCGUAGAUCAGCAUGCUACGGUGAAUACGUUCCCGGGUCUUGUACACACCGCCCGUCACACCACGAGAGUUUGUAACACCCGAAGCCGGUGGAGUAACCUUUUAGGAGCUAGCCGUCGAAGGUGGGACAAAUGAUUGGGGUGAAGUCGUAACAAGGUAGCCGUAUCGGAAGGUGCGGCUGGAUCACCU
RNAcentral lists this ribosomal RNA (1489 nucleotides) under Staphylococcus aureus. RNAcentral's name for it is "16S ribosomal RNA". It matches the Rfam family "Bacterial small subunit ribosomal RNA". Lineage: Bacteria; Bacillati; Bacillota; Bacilli; Caryophanales; Staphylococcaceae. The record is from RNAcentral.